GGGGACGACCAGGUUUCGACGGGGUCGAUCACACGUUGUGGUUGCGAGCCGAGGUUGCUGGAUGGCCUCGUAAAACUCCAGCAAAAACCAUAUAUGCGGACUCACAUGAGUACGCCCUUCCGACUUCUGCUCUCGCAGCUUAAGUAAGGAAAGGUUCCGCCCCCGGCCAGUCGGCCGUCGGGUCAGCGGAAUUAGCUUUGCCGACUCACCGAAUCACCUUGCCUCUGCGUGACUUAGGGAAAAUUUAGGAGGCUGGCCUUCUCCGACCCCGUUCGUGAGGUGACGAGAAGGCGAGACACUGAUUGCGAACUACGCUCGUAGACGCCACCUCGUUGCGAUCUCGGACGGGGGUUCGAUUCCCCCCGUCUCCACUG
Molecule: transfer-messenger RNA, 374 nt
Filed under: Solirubrobacteraceae bacterium
Lineage: Bacteria; Bacillati; Actinomycetota; Thermoleophilia; Solirubrobacterales; Solirubrobacteraceae
Rfam family: transfer-messenger RNA
About the family: Bacterial tmRNA, also known as 10Sa RNA or SsrA, is named for its dual tRNA and mRNA-like properties. Its role is to liberate the mRNA from a stalled ribosome.
Source: RNAcentral